GAUGAACGCUGGCGGCGUGCCUAAUACAUGCAAGUCGAGCGAACCGACGAGGAGCUUGCUCCUCUGACGUUAACGGCGGACGGGGGAGGAAAAAGUGGAUAACCUACCUAUAAGACUGGGAUAACUUCGGGAAACCGAAGCUAAUACCGGAUAAUAUAUUGAACCGCAUGGUUCAAUAGUGAAAGACGGUUUUGCUGUCACUUAUAGAUGGAUCCGCGCCGCAUUAGCUAGUUGGUAAGGUAACGGCCUACCAAGGCGACGAUGCGUAGCCGACCUGAGAGGGUGAUCGGCCACACUGGAACUGAGACACGGUCCAGACUCCUACGGGAGGCAGCAGUAGGAAUAUUUGCGCAAUGGGCGAAAGCCUGACGGAGCAACGCGGCGGGGGUGAUGAAGGUCUGCGGUUCGUAAACCUCUGUUAUUAGGGAAGAACAAAUGUGUAUGUAACCAUGCAGGUAUGACCGGACCCAAAGCAGAAAGCCACGCCUAACUACUG
Molecule: ribosomal RNA, 496 nt
Filed under: uncultured bacterium
Lineage: Bacteria
Description: partial 16S ribosomal RNA
Rfam family: Bacterial small subunit ribosomal RNA
Source: RNAcentral